AAGAAGGACAGGUUGCCUGUCUCCAGAGACUGCCACAGGCUCGCUGCCCCCAGGGCCCACACAGACCAAUCAACAGACAAGUCAGAUGCUGAACUGGUUCUGCACAGAAAGUCUAGGAUUUGGCGCUUAAGGAACACCACUUCUCAAAACAUUCAUUACUGCCGGUAUUGCAAGUUACAGCUCUUAAAGAACGAUAAGCAAGCAACAAAAGGACACAGCAUGGAUCACUUGGCUAAAGAUAGCUGA
Molecule: long non-coding RNA, 246 nt
Filed under: Apteryx owenii (little spotted kiwi)
Lineage: Eukaryota; Metazoa; Chordata; Aves; Apterygiformes; Apterygidae
Description: lncRNA (ENSAOWG00000018908.1)
Source: RNAcentral